Salvelinus fontinalis (brook trout) is the source of this 1457-nucleotide long non-coding RNA. RefSeq lists it as uncharacterized. Lineage: Eukaryota; Metazoa; Chordata; Actinopteri; Salmoniformes; Salmonidae. The transcript is spliced from 2 exons. The record is from RefSeq and is a predicted model, not a curated record.
UGCGUUUCUCUGGGCUAUAGUAGUAAAGGCCAAAUUCUAUAUUUUCUCAAAUAUUUUUAUAUUUUUUAUACCUAAAGAGGUCCUAAAAUUCCAAUUCAAAUAGCUAAAUGAUCCAUAGAAUGACCAUCUUAUAACAAUUCCAUGUGUCUCAGUGCUGUCCUGAGGCUCUAUGGGGUUGGUUUAGGAUAUUGAUCUUAUUCUCGAACAGCUGGCUGAGGGGACUCUUCUCUUGUUUCAUCUCUUGACAUUGUAGGGUUGUGUGAUAAAAUGUUUGGGGUUGAUGGCGCUUUUUCCAAUAGGAAUAAGGAGGGAGUAUUGGCCCAAUUAUGCUCUACAUUGAGUUGAGUUUUUCUUUGCACUUGCAAUACACUCUUGCAAAACUCUGCACGCAGUAUUUUGAUUGGAUGUUUGUACCAUUUGGUAAAUUCAUUAUUGAAAACCUUGCUGCCGUAUAGAGCAGUUGCUUCUAAAACUGAUUGGAAAAUUGGAACACAAACCAGAAAGAGUAACUGUGUUGUAUGUUUUUCUCUUAUAGCUUCAGGUUUCAUACUGUCACUGAAGAAGCUACUGAGCAUACCAGCGUACUUUCUGCUUCUGUGUGGCAGCAUCCUGAAGUUCAACUCCUUCAUUGGGCUGCUCAUGUUCAAAGCCAAGUACAUGGAACAGCAAUUUGGCCAAUCAGCAGCCAGAGCCAACUUCCUCAUUGGUUAGACACUGUAGCUACAUGUUUCACAAUCAGCUACCAUCUUUAUAAACCAACUAGGGCCCCACUACUGGCUGUAAGCGAAUGACUGAUGCGCAUUUGGAGCAAUACUGGCUGUAUCCGAGGCUCAGUCAAUCAUUCAUAUUACAACAGAAUGCAACAUGCAACUGAAGAGAGAAGAGACAACCAACUUGCUAGUUACGGCAUCAGCGUGCGCUCUGGAAAGACAGCAGAGAGUGGAAAGGCCGUUUGCCAGUUACAGCAGCAUGUCCCCUGAACAAUAAUGAAAAGGACCCCUGGUGUACGAUGGCAGCCUGUUGUCAGAGUGUAACAGAGACUGCUCCUGCUUGGCUGGGGAGUGGGACCCUGUGUGUUCAGACAACGGCAUCACCUACAACUUCCCCUGCCUCACAAUCUGCUCCAGCUCUACAGGAUACGGCAAGAACUGAGUGUACAACACAUUCACAGGGAUGCUGGCCCAUGUUGACUCCAAUGCUUCCCACAGUUGUGUCAAGUUGGCUGUAUGUCUUUUGAGUGGUGGACCAUUCUUGAUACACACGAAACUGUUGAGUGUAAAAAAAAAAACCCAGCAGCGUUGCAGUUCUUGACACAAACUGGUGCCCCUGGCACCUACUACCAUGCCCCCUUCAAAGGCACGUAAAUAUUUUGUCUUGCCCAUUCACCCUCUGAAUGGCACACAUACACAAUCCAUGUCUCGAUUGUCUCAAGCCUUACAAUAUAUUUUUUAAUCUGU